RNAcentral lists this ribosomal RNA (1381 nucleotides) under uncultured bacterium. RNAcentral describes it as "partial 16S ribosomal RNA". It matches the Rfam family "Bacterial small subunit ribosomal RNA". The record is from RNAcentral.
AGAGUUUGAUCCUGGCUCAGGAUGAACGCUGGCGGCGUGCUUAACACAUGCAAGUCGAACGAUGAAGCCCAGCUUGCUGGGUGGAUUAGUGGCGAACGGGUGAGUAACACGUGAGUAACCUGCCCCUGACUCUGGGAUAAGCCCGGGAAACUGGGUCUAAUACCGGAUAUGACCAUGGGACGCAUGUCUUGUGGUGGAAAGAUUUAUCGGUUGGGGAUGGACUCGCGGCCUAUCAGCUUGUUGGUGAGGUAAUGGCUCACCAAGGCGACGACGGGUAGCCGGCCUGAGAGGGUGACCGGCCACACUGGGACUGAGACACGGCCCAGACUCCUACGGGAGGCAGCAGUGGGGAAUAUUGCACAAUGGGCGCAAGCCUGAUGCAGCGACGCCGCGUGAGGGAUGACGGCCUUCGGGUUGUAAACCUCUUUCAGUAGGGAAGAAGCGAGAGUGACGGUACCUGCAGAAGAAGCGCCGGCUAACUACGUGCCAGCAGCCGCGGUAAUACGUAGGGCGCAAGCGUUAUCCGGAUUUAUUGGGCGUAAAGAGCUCGUAGGCGGUUUGUCGCGUCUGCCGUGAAAGUCCGAGGCUCAACCUCGGAUCUGCGGUGGGUACGGGCAGACUAGAGUGAUGUAGGGGAGACUGGAAUUCCUGGUGUAGCGGUGAAAUGCGCAGAUAUCAGGAGGAACACCGAUGGCGAAGGCAGGUCUCUGGGCAUUUACUGACGCUGAGGAGCGAAAGCAUGGGGAGCGAACAGGAUUAGAUACCCUGGUAGUCCAUGCCGUAAACGUUGGGCACUAGGUGUGGGGGACAUUCCACGUUUUCCGCGCCGUAGCUAACGCAUUAAGUGCCCCGCCUGGGGAGUACGGCCGCAAGGCUAAAACUCAAAGGAAUUGACGGGGGCCCGCACAAGCGGCGGAGCAUGCGGAUUAAUUCGAUGCAACGCGAAGAACCUUACCUGGUCUUGACAUCCACAGAACUUUCCAGAGAUGGAUUGGUGCCUUCGGGAACUGUGAGACAGGUGCUGCAUGGCUGUCGUCAGCUCGUGUUGUGAAAUGUUGGGUUAAGUCCCGCAACGAGCGCAACCCUUAUCCUUUGUUGCCAGCGGUCCGGCCGGGAACUCAAAGGAGACUGCCAGUGAUAAACUGGAGGAAGGUGGGGAUGACGUCAAGUCAUCAUGGCCCUUACGACCAGGGCUACACACGUGCUACAAUGGCGCAUACAAAGAGAAGCGACCUCGCGAGAGCAAGCGGACCUCAUAAAGUGCGUCGUAGUCCGGAUUGGAGUCUGCAACUCGACUCCAUGAAGUCGGAAUCGCUAGUAAUCGUGGAUCAGAAUGCCACGGUGAAUACGUUCCCGGGCCUUGUACACACCGCCCGUCAAG